RNAcentral lists this ribosomal RNA (906 nucleotides) under Alteromonas sp. RNAcentral describes it as "bacterial SSU rRNA". It matches the Rfam family "Bacterial small subunit ribosomal RNA", at positions 60 to 965 of the family's 1533-position model. Lineage: Bacteria; Pseudomonadati; Pseudomonadota; Gammaproteobacteria; Alteromonadales; Alteromonadaceae. The record is from RNAcentral.
AGUCGACGGUAACAUUUCUAGCUUGCUAGAAGAUGACGAGUGGCGGACGGGUGAGUAAUGCUUGGGAACUUGCCUUUAGGAGGGGGAUAACAGUUGGAAACGACUGCUAAUACCGCAUAAUGUCUACGGACCAAAGGGGGCUUCGGCUCUCACCUGAAGAGAGGCCCAAGUGAGAUUAGCUAGUUGGUAAGGUAAAAGCUUACCAAGGCGACGAUCUCUAGCUGUUCUGAGAGGAAGAUCAGCCACACUGGGACUGAGACACGGCCCAGACUCCUACGGGAGGCAGCAGUGGGGAAUAUUGCACAAUGGGGGAAACCCUGAUGCAGCCAUGCCGCGUGUGUGAAGAAGGCCUUCGGGUUGUAAAGCACUUUCAGUUGUGAGGAAAGGUUGGUAGUUAAUACCUGCCAGCUGUGACGUUAACAACAGAAGAAGCACCGGCUAACUCCGUGCCAGCAGCCGCGGUAAUACGGAGGGUGCGAGCGUUAAUCGGAAUUACUGGGCGUAAAGCGCACGCAGGCGGUUUGUUAAGCUAGAUGUGAAAGCCCCGGGCUCAACCUGGGAUGGUCAUUUAGAACUGGCAGACUAGAGUCUUGGAGAGGGGAGUGGAAUUCCAGGUGUAGCGGUGAAAUGCGUAGAUAUCUGGAGGAACAUCAGUGGCGAAGGCGGCUCCCUGGCCAAAGACUGACGCUCAUGUGCGAAAGUGUGGGUAGCGAACAGGAUUAGAUACCCUGGUAGUCCACACCGUAAACGCUGUCUACUAGCUGUUUGUGAAUUUAAUUCGUGAGUAGCGAAGCUAACGCGAUAAGUAGACCGCCUGGGGAGUACGGCCGCAAGGUUAAAACUCNAAUGAAUUGACGGGGCCCGCACAAGCGGUGGAGCAUGUGGUUUAAUUCGAUGCAACGCGAA